RNAcentral lists this ribosomal RNA (286 nucleotides) under uncultured soil bacterium. Its description in RNAcentral is "partial 16S ribosomal RNA". It matches the Rfam family "Bacterial small subunit ribosomal RNA", at positions 26 to 340 of the family's 1533-position model. The record is from RNAcentral.
AGAGCGAACGCUGGCGGCAGGCCUAACACAUGCAAGUCGAACGGACCCUUCGGGGUUAGUGGCGGACGGGUGAGUAACACGUGGGAACGUGCCUUUUGGUUCGGAAUAGCUCCUGGAAACGGGCGGUAAUGCCGAAUGUGCCCUUCGGGGGAAAGAUUUAUCGCCAUUAGAGCGGCCCGCGUCUGAUUAGCUAGUUGGUAAGGUAAUGGCUUACCAAGGCGACGAUCAGUAGCUGGUCUGAGAGGAUGACCAGCCACAUUGGGACUGAGACACGGCCCAAACUCCC